GUAACUCUAGACUUUUCCCCCGUGCGCGCGCCUGCACCGCGCGAGCCAAUUUUUAUAGCCCCCGCGCGCUCCCUCUCGUCCCGCGCGAGCCAGGCUGCCCAGAAACGGAUUUCAUUUACGUUUCCGGCAGAUAGGCUCCGCCGGGCCUUUUGCAUGCCUCAGGUGCCAGGUCGAGUGCAGGCAAAGCAAACUCCCGAAACCUGCGUCCCGUGGACCAGGCUGGGCCAAAUGCAAACCGCCCCAGGUGUCUCGAGAGGAAGCUUCGUCCUCGCCGCGACCCGCGCGGAC
This 288-nucleotide long non-coding RNA is filed under the name Setaria italica (foxtail millet). RNAcentral describes it as "long non-coding RNA (SITA_LNC006449)". The record is from RNAcentral. Lineage: Eukaryota; Viridiplantae; Streptophyta; Magnoliopsida; Poales; Poaceae.